This 217-nucleotide long non-coding RNA is filed under the name Elaeis guineensis (African oil palm). RNAcentral's name for it is "long non-coding RNA (EGUI_LNC074007)". The record is from RNAcentral. Lineage: Eukaryota; Viridiplantae; Streptophyta; Magnoliopsida; Arecales; Arecaceae.
CAGUUAACAUGUGAUACAGUCUCUCUAUUAUGAGUCCCGAUCAUAUAGAGAUCAUGAAAAAUUUGUCAAACCCCAUCGUCAGUCAUAUGUUAAAUUUAUUUGACUCGAGUUCAUCUUGUGAAUAUCCAUGGAAACUCUUUUUCACUAAUCACACUGCCUUGGCCAAAAACUUCUAAAUUCAGUCUCAUAAAUCACAUAGGACUACUCCUUUCUGUUA